ACUAAUUAUUAAUUUUGGUUGUAUUUGAUGAGAGGAAGAAAGUGGGGAGAGGUGUAAGGUGUUUGUCUGUUUAACGUGAACAUGCAGGAAGGUGUUGUAUUGACCACAGCAAUGCCCUCUUCAUCUUCAUCAUCAUCAUCUUGGAGCCACCAUUGCAACAAUCUCUGUAACUGCAAACACGCUCCUUCCGCCACCUUAGACCUUCUUAUCCUCCUCCUUGUUCUCUUCUCCGGCGCUUUCCUUCUCUCCUCUUAUUUCUCCUACAUCUUCAACUCCCUCUCUCUCCUCCUCCCUUCCGUCUCUCUCCCCAUACCCUACCUCCUCUCAUUCGUGAUUUUCUUUAUCGCUUCGGUGGUCACCGUUGAGUUGUGUUGUGGAGCCCGAUCUCGGAAGUGUGAGAGGAUCGGGUGUAGGGGACUCAAGAAAGCUACGGAGUUUGAUUUGCAGAUAGAGAGAUUCGGUUCUGGUUCGGGAACUGCUUCGGGGUUAGGGUUGGGUGAAUAUGAUAAACUUCCUUGGAAAGGUGGGAGUGAAGGGAAUCCUGAUUAUGAGUGUCUUAGGUCUGAGUUGAGGAAAAUGGCUCCGAUUAAUGGUCGUGCGCUUUUGCUUUUUAGGGCUCCUUGUGGUUGUCCUAUUGCAAAGCUUGAAGCUUCUGGUCCUAAGAAAGGAAAGCGUCAUAAGAGACUAGGCCUAUAGCAAAAUGAAUAUUUCAGUAUAAGACAGAAGGUGUUGGACCAUGCUACAUAAAUCAUGCAGGUCUCAAUCCAGUGCGACUCUUAAUGGAGGAGGAAAUCACCGUUGAUCCAUCACGCCGUCAUCUGAUUUAUAUUAAAACCAUUGUUAUUGUCAUGGUUACCCCUUUAUUGGGAAGCUUCUGAUCAGAACAAUUUUCAUAAGAAAGAAAAUAGCAAUUAGUGUUAACAAUCCUUCCCUGUAUCUGUAUCUGCACUGUCCAGGAGUGUCUAUAAACUUUUGAAGGAUCGUACAGAAUUGACUCCAAUAAACAUGUGGUUCAUUGUUGUUCCAUUUCAUUA
Molecule: RNA transcript, 1034 nt
Organism: Lathyrus oleraceus (garden pea)
Lineage: Eukaryota; Viridiplantae; Streptophyta; Magnoliopsida; Fabales; Fabaceae
Exons: 3
Source: RefSeq, a predicted model, not a curated record